GAUGAACGCUGGCGGCGUGCCUAAUACAUGCAAGUCGAGCGAACGGACGAGAAGCUUGCUUCUCUGAUGUUAGCGGCGGACGGGUGAGUAACACGUGGAUAACCUACCUAUAAGACUGGGAUAACUUCGGGAAACCGUAGCUAAUACCGGAUAAUAUUUUGAACCGCAUGGUUCAAAAGUGAAAGACGGUCUUGCUGUCACUUAUAGAUGGAUCCGCGCUGCAUUAUCUAGUUGGUAAGGUAACGGCUUACCAAGGCAACGAUGCAUAGCCGACCUGAGAGGGUGAUCGGCCACACUGGAACUGAGACACGGUCCAGACGCCUACGGGAGGCAGCAGUAGGGAAUCUUCCGCAAUGGGCGAAAGCCUGACGGAGCAACGCCGCGUGAGUGAUGAAGGUCUUCGGAUCGUAAAACUCUGUUAUUAGGGAAGAACAUAUGUGUAAGUAACUGUGCACAUCUUGACGGUACCUAAUCAGAAAGCCACGGCUAACUACGUG
Molecule: ribosomal RNA, 497 nt
Filed under: uncultured bacterium
Lineage: Bacteria
Description: partial 16S ribosomal RNA
Rfam family: Bacterial small subunit ribosomal RNA
Source: RNAcentral